GCAUCUGCUCAAGCCAAGCUCCUAUCACAGAAUGAUCAGUGGAUUCUAAUUGUGAUUUAGUAGUAGUUAGACCCUCACCGGAUGCCGCAGCACCCAUCCCGGGCACUGCCAGCUUCUCUUUUAGCAUCUCAGGUGGGGAUUCCUUCACCAGGGAUUGAACCCAUGAUAAGUCAGGCUCCUCCCCGUUAUUUCCCAUUUCGAAAGAAGAUGACCUUCGCAGUUGACCCAGUU
RNAcentral lists this unclassified non-coding RNA (231 nucleotides) under Hevea brasiliensis (rubber tree). The record is from RNAcentral. Lineage: Eukaryota; Viridiplantae; Streptophyta; Magnoliopsida; Malpighiales; Euphorbiaceae.